UAAAACAAGCCUUGUUACCAGACGCCGACCUGAAGUUGGCAAGUUUUCAGUGGCACCUGGCACAGUGAGAUGGGCAAGGGUGGCGGUUCUGCCAAGGUCUAGCCCCUGCCUGUGAGUUAUUGCUGGCCGGGAAGGCUGCUGGUGUCACACGUGUAGUGACAAGAGCUUGACCAGCAGCUCUUGGUUUUGGGACUGGUCUGUUUUUUUCCAAGGUGUCCUAUUGCUUUGGACUCUUUUUUGCUCAUCAGUAAGGGAAUAAUUUAGGUUGCUCAUCGUGUUUCAGCCUUUCUGAGGAGAUGAACUGGGCUUAGGAAUGCCUGUUGUAAGUAGAAGAUUAAAUGAAACAGGUGGAUAAGCAAAUGGAAACUAGAGCACAGCAGAGAAACCAUCUUUGUCAGCUUGUUUCUCCAGGAUGACACAGAAUACAUGUGGGAAGAGAUCAUCUUUGUAGGUCUCAGAUAAGUUGGUGACAAGUCCUGAAAGGAAAGGCAACAAAUUGGGAGGUCACCGGUUUUCUUGAGGAAAGAAUAGAGACUCUUUUGGACAAUUAAGACUUGCACUUCUGAGCCCACAUCUCUCUGAGCAUGUGUGAACCUCGAGGUCAGCUACGGAACACAGUGAUGAACAGCAAUCCAGUAUUUUCGGUAGCACGACUGGGAUCAGAAAUGCUUCAUGGAAAUGCGUGUUGAGGAAGGAGUUUGCAGUGAGAGAAGUGGCAAAGCCCGGGAGAACAGUGUGGUAAAAAAGGAUUUUACCAACCCUUUACUGUGUUCAUGGGGCCCCUAGGCUGAACGAUGCACUCACAGCUCUUUAGUGCUGUCUUUACCACCGAAAUAAACGCAAAUUUGGGUUUGUUUUCUGCCGUUGUAGUUACCACGAAAGGGUGGGGGGGGAAGAGGGACUGGAGCUGGGUACAAAAUGGCCUGCCACGGCGCCGCAGCGGUGAGGGGGCCCUGUGGCAAGGUCCAGCCCUGAGGGGUAUUCUUGGGUCGCAGGUAGCAUUCCCAGCGUGCACAACGCUGGCACUGCAAUUCACCCAGCUCUUAAUGUUUUAAAACGUCUUGCUGCCUUUGAGUUGUGUGUGAGGAGUGCGGCUUGAGAGGGAUGCCAUCUGUGGUGGUGCCAGAGGUAAACCUCAGUCCAACAACUGUGCGACUGGUGAGGCUUUUCUAUAGGGUGCGUUUCGGCUCGCAGGGAGGUAAAUGUGAAGCUUGUCCGUGCUCAGGCCCAUGUCUGCACCACGGGUUUCGAGGCUGGCUUCUGGGAGCAAACCGCGUUUAGUGUCCCGAGGCAUCUCACACCGGGAACAACAGCAGGGGUAAUUCACAGUAUUAAGUAGGAUAUUGAUGUGUACAUGAGGCCAUCUUGGCUUAGGUGGCUAUAAACUGAUCCACAAUUGGAAAUCCAGAGAAACGGAGCUUGCACCAUUAAAUGUGUGACCUUUGUUUGGGAUAUUUGAUGCCUUUAGAUAUGCAAAAGCUGAGGCUGUUGCCAAGUCAUAUUGGAACCACACAGAAGAACUCACCCUAAGGCCUGCAAUGGCAGGUGGGUGCUGAAAGGUGCUGCUCUAAGUCAAAUCUGUCUCUGCUUCCCUAUUGUGUACCUGCACUACUGAUCCCUUCUCCUGCCUUCCCAAUGGGCCCUCAGCAUGGGCUAUGCUUGUGAAGAGGUGACUUACCAUGUUUUCAAUCAGAUCUAGUUGAGACAAAGCUAUAUGCGUGUCACAUACAAUUAAAAUUGCAGAAGUUCCUAACAGAAGUGUGCUCUACAUCUAUGAUGUGUAGUAAUGUAGAAGCUCCAGGAGGAAUAAUAAUGUGUCACUACAGACAAAGUGAUACACCUGUUCAAAGAUAAAAUUGGAGAAACCAUGUCCAAAAAUCUGAUGGAAUGGGACUUGUGGGGCUGUGGAGAAACAAAGACUGAUCCAAUUUUAUUGUAAAGUAAACAGAUUUGCAGGAUUUUCUCCAGUUGUGCUGAAGGGUGACAACCUUGAUGGCAGGAGCUAAAUAGCUCUAAUUUGGUCUUUGAAAGUUGCUUAUUGCUACCUCCGCUGAAUAGCAAACAGAAGCAGGGCAGCAGGCUAGCAAGGAUGUCAGUGAUGUAAUACUGCUCUGUAAAGCAAAGUGGUGUGUCAAGGAUGUGACUUUGGUUUGUACAUGCAGGAGGUCCUUGCUUUGUUUGUUGUUAUGUAAGUGCAGCCAUGAAAAAGCUUGUAUUAUCAAGGCCAGUCUUCAUCCAAGCUCAGGUCUACUUUGAAGUCCUGGAGUGAAAUCUUGCUCCAUGGCCACCAAUGGGAAUGAUGCUAUCAAUUUUUGGUAAGUCAAGGGCGCAGCUCCUGGUGUGAAACUAGCAGACUUUGCACUUUGUCACCUUCUUUAUGUUGCUGAAGGCUGUGGAAGGUCAAACAGGGGUAAAAUCAGGGUUCAGGACUAUGAGCAAGCUGCUGCCUAGUAUCCUCAUGACCUUUCAUGCUGCAACAAUGUCAGAUGAAACAAUUUGCAGAAGCGCAGAUUUCAACAUGUGAAUAAGUAUUGUAAUUCUUUUGUGGAGCAUGGCUAUAUAAUGGUUCUUCAGGUCUGUGUCAAGAUGUAUAAAGAAAAGCUGUGACCCUUUGUUCUUAGCAAUUAGCGUUGUGUCAGAUUUCAGUUCUUACUGUAUUAGGAAGAAAUAGUUGCUUUUGCGGUGGAUGUAUAACGUUAACGAACACUGAUGUAACACUAGAUGUCAGUAGUGCUUCGCCAGUUUCAGACUUACAGCCUUUAUUUGCUGCUGUUUUUUUGGGCGCAUAAAUGCCCUCUCCUUAUUCCAUCUUUUCCAGAAUAAACAAGUGAAAAUAUGCUGUCCUUCAAAA
Pogoniulus pusillus (Red-fronted tinkerbird) is the source of this 2851-nucleotide long non-coding RNA. RefSeq lists it as uncharacterized. The transcript has 2 exons. The record is from RefSeq and is a predicted model, not a curated record. Lineage: Eukaryota; Metazoa; Chordata; Aves; Piciformes; Lybiidae.